UCUAGGGAUGGCAACGGGUAGGGUACCUGCGAAACUGAGAGUACCCAAAUCCGAACCCGAUUAUAUGUAAAAUUCCCGAAUCCGUCCCAAACCCGUUUAGUAUUUUAAUUUUAAUACCCGUACCCGUUCCAAAUCCGUUUAACAAUACCCGUACACUACCCGAACCCGACCGAACCCGAUUUUUUUACUUCAAUUCAAGCAAAUAGAAUCACAUAAUUCACUCAAAACUGUUCCCACAUAAGCAUAAGAAAUUAAGAACACCCAAGGUCAUAUGCAUAGAAGAACAAAAAGAUUUUUCCAGAAGUCANNNNN
Molecule: long non-coding RNA, 312 nt
Filed under: Manihot esculenta (cassava)
Lineage: Eukaryota; Viridiplantae; Streptophyta; Magnoliopsida; Malpighiales; Euphorbiaceae
Description: long non-coding RNA (MESC_LNC005625)
Source: RNAcentral